This 253-nucleotide ribosomal RNA is filed under the name uncultured bacterium. RNAcentral's name for it is "partial 16S ribosomal RNA". It matches the Rfam family "Bacterial small subunit ribosomal RNA", at positions 524 to 776 of the family's 1533-position model. The record is from RNAcentral.
UACAGAGGGUGCGAGCGUUGUCCGGAAUCACUGGGCGUAAAGGGCGCGUAGGCGGCGCGGUAAGCGUGCGGUGAAAUCCCUGGGCUCAACCCAGGAACUGCGUCCGAUACUGGUUGGCUUGAAUCCGGGAGAGGGAUGUGGAAUUCCAGGUGUAGCGGUGAAAUGCGUAGAUAUCUGGAGGAACACCGGUGGCGAAGGCGACAUCCUGGACCGGUAUUGACGCUGAGGCGCGAAAGCCAGGGGAGCAAACGGG